GGAGGCGCCGCACAAAAGGUAGUGCAGCGGCGUGCUAAGCCGCCGGGCGCGUGCGCCCCUGUGCGUUCGAGUCGCACCGCCUCCG
RNAcentral lists this transfer RNA (85 nucleotides) under Acidobacteriota bacterium. RNAcentral describes it as "Acidobacteria bacterium (rhizosphere metagenome) tRNA-Ser". The record is from RNAcentral. Lineage: Bacteria; Pseudomonadati; Acidobacteriota.